ACCUCCCACCCGUGUUUAUUUUACCUUGUUGCUUCGGCGGGCCCGCCUUUACUGGCCGCCGGGGGGCUCACGCCCCCGGGCCCGCGCCCGCCGAAGACACCCCCGAACUCUGUCUGAAGAUUGAAGUCUGAGUGAAAAUAUAAAUUAUUUAAAACUUUCAACAACGGAUCUCUUGGUUCCGGCAUCGAUGAAGAACGCAGCGAAAUGCGAUACGUAAUGUGAAUUGCAAAUUCAGUGAAUCAUCGAGUCUUUGAACGCACAUUGCGCCCCCUGGUAUUCCGGGGGGCAUGCCUGUCCGAGCGUCAUUGCUGCCCUCAAGCCCGGCUUGUGUGUUGGGCCCCGUCCUCCGAUUCCGGGGGACGGGCCCGAAAGGCAGCGGCGGCACCGCGUCCGGUCCUCGAGCGUAUGGGGCUUUGUCACCCGCUCUGUAGGCCCGGCCGGCGCUUGCCGAUCAACCCAAAUUUUUAUCCAGGUUGACCUCGGAUCAGGUAGGGAUACCCGCUGAACUUAAGCAUAUCA
This 519-nucleotide ribosomal RNA is filed under the name Penicillium polonicum. RNAcentral's name for it is "eukaryotic LSU rRNA". The stretch from base 153 to 305 matches the Rfam family "5.8S ribosomal RNA". The record is from RNAcentral. Lineage: Eukaryota; Fungi; Ascomycota; Eurotiomycetes; Eurotiales; Aspergillaceae.